Molecule: ribosomal RNA, 355 nt
Filed under: Ochrobactrum sp. ORNaP2b
Lineage: Bacteria; Pseudomonadati; Pseudomonadota; Alphaproteobacteria; Hyphomicrobiales; Brucellaceae
Description: bacterial SSU rRNA
Rfam family: Bacterial small subunit ribosomal RNA
Source: RNAcentral
UAACGCGUGGGAACGUACCUUUUGCUACGGAAUAACUCAGGGAAACUUGUGCUAAUACCGUAUGUGCCCUUCGGGGGAAAGAUUUAUCGGCAAAGGAUCGGCCCGCGUUGGAUUAGCUAGUUGGUGAGGUAAAGGCUCACCAAGGCGACGAUCCAUAGCUGGUCUGAGAGGAUGAUCAGCCACACUGGGACUGAGACACGGCCCAGACUCCUACGGGAGGCAGCAGUGGGGAAUAUUGGACAAUGGGCGCAAGCCUGAUCCAGCCAUGCCGCGUGAGUGAUGAAGGCCCUAGGGUUGUAAAGCUCUUUCACCGGUGAAGAUAAUGACGGUAACCGGAGAAGAAGCCCCGGCUAAC